Molecule: ribosomal RNA, 163 nt
Filed under: Methylophaga sp.
Lineage: Bacteria; Pseudomonadati; Pseudomonadota; Gammaproteobacteria; Thiotrichales; Piscirickettsiaceae
Description: partial 23S ribosomal RNA
Rfam family: Bacterial large subunit ribosomal RNA
Source: RNAcentral
CAUCUAAGCGUGAAGCCCCCCUCAAGAUUAGAUUUCCCAGAGCUUUAAGCUCCUGAAGGGCCGUUGAAGACUACGACGUUGAUAGGUUGGGUGUGGAAGUGUGGUAACACAUGAAGCUAACCAAUACUAAUUGCCCGUGAGGCUUGACCAUAUAACCCCAAGG